AUGAAAGCCACUCUCCUCUUUUCUGGAUGUGCUAGAUCAGAGCAACCUCUGGCCAGUUACCACUCAUGUACACGGGAUAUAAUAGUGUCUUAUUGGGUUGUGCCUGGGAAGGGAUGUUUUCCUACUACUUCCUAUCUUGCUUGUAGGUAUAGUUUUAUUGCACUGUGUUAUAUUAAGGUAAAAGAAAAAGAGCCUUGCCAAGUACCUGAGAUUUUGUCUGCCUGUCUAUCUAUCUAUCUAACCCACCUAAUUUUCUCCCACGAGAAAGCAAAGUUUUCCCACAUAAAUUAGAUAGGCCUAUAAGAUUAGGAACAUUUUUUUAAAUCUGUUGCCUCACUCUGGAGUUAAAAGAUCAACAUUAAAGCCAGUGUGAGCAUUAAUGACUGUGCUACCUAAGGCAACUCAUUCAGUCUUUGCUGGCCUCAGUUCUGGGUCUGAGACACGGGAUUGAGUGAGUUCUAAAUUGGAAUACAGUGGACAAUUGUUUCAGGCCACAGGUCAAGUUGGGACAACACCAGGGCUUAGAAAAGGCCGUAGGGUUUAUCCUCUGCCCCACACCACCAGAGAAAGCUCACCAGACAAAAGCCAGUACACUUUAGUCUGAUAUGCUUCUCUGUAUCACUUGGGCAUUUUGCUGACCUCACCAAAUAAAUGGUCCUACAGACAUCAUGGGCUUGCCCGGUGGCUCAGAGGUUAAAAGAAUUCACCUGCAGUGCAGGAGAUACAGAAGUGAGAUCAAUUCUUGGGUCGGGAAGAUCCCUAGAGGAUGAAAUGGGUACGCACUCCAGUAUUCUUGCCUGGAGAAUCCCUCAGAGGAACCUGGAGGGCUACAGUAAAUGGGGUCACACCGAGUUAGGGGGGUACGACUGAAGGGACUGAGCAUACACGCACACUCAGACAUCAAAGGGACACAGAUUUCUUCCUGCCUCAUGCUGAACUCAUAGACCCGGAUGUGGAGUCCUGAGUGUUAUGAGACCUAUCCCUUCACAGAGGCAGCCAGGCCUCCAAAUGGCAGUUCAGAUUGAGCUAGGGACCUCGGAGGCAGGGGAGGGUCCCUGAGCUGAGGGGCUCUCACAGCUGCCAGUCCCGCCCAUGACUGUUUCAGAAGCAUCACUGCACUAGGCUGGGCCUAAUCAGUUCUGUCCAGAUCAGGGCUGCUUAUGGAGUACAGAGUGUCACAGCUUAGCCCGGUUUCUCACAUGUUCAACACUCGCUUUAUUCUUUCCCUUGAGUGACAAUUCUCGAGGGUCAACACGCUCUUCGUCCAGCAUACCAAAUCCUGCAUGAGGGAGGGCUGGCGUUGUUCCAAGCAGGCCAAAGUCAUGGGUUUUCUCUCGCUGAUGCCUUUUAACCACAAGGGAGUUGCAGGAUCUUUGAACACUCCUGUGGAUGUAUUUCAAGAUCCUUCUCUUCAGGCUCUGGCAAUUCCACAGUUUACCUUGAUCCCCGGUGAACAGGUUGGGAGAGCCUGCCAUUAUGACUCUUACGUGAUGCUCUGGGCUUCUGAGCCCCUUCACAAGUGAUCAGUGCUGCUCUCCAAGGGCAGGCGGUGGCAUUUGUCUUCACUGUGUUCUUUCUCCAAAUUUGAUUUCUUUUUCUUUUUGACUCCUUUUUUGCUUCUAAAACAUGUUUUCCUCCAGUGACUUGGGAAUGAGUGUAUGAUUUUCAAACAGAACAAGUUCACAGUUUUUGUUUUCUUCUGUUCAACAUCAAAAACACCAUUGUAAACUGGAGACAUAAAGCAGAUUUAUCAGCUUCUACAGUCUUUAUGUCCAAAUAUUUCUCUUUUUUCCUCAUGUUUUAAAAUCAUCAGAUAGUAAAAUUGACUCUAUAUUGUUGUGGGGGUUUUUUUGGUGUUUCAUUCUAAGAAUUUUAUCANNNNNNNNNNNNNNNNNNNNNNNNNNNNNNNNNNNNNNNNNNNNNNNNNNNNNNNNUGCCAAUGCAGGAGACAUAAGAGAUGCAGGUUUGAUCCCUGGGUCAGGAAUCCCUACAGCGGGCUACAGCUCAUCAUAGUCACAGUCAGACAUAACUGAAGCACACACACACACACAUUGAUUCAUGUCACCACCAUCAUAAGCAAGACAGAGUUUCCUUCACCUGUUACCCUUUUACUCUCAAAUCUUUCCUGCACCUCCUAUAUGACAACCACCAUCAUAUAGGAUCAGCUUUCCCAGAAGAUGUACAAAUGGAAUCGUAUAGCGUGUAAUCUCCUGAGUCUGACAUUUCCGUUAGCGCAAUGCAUUUGAGAUCCAUUCACUUUGUAGUAUGUUUAAAGAGUUUAUUCCCUUUUACAGCUGUGUAGUAUUCCAUUGUAUGAGUGUACACUAGAUGUUUAUCCAUUACCUUCUGAAGGAUAUUUGGGUAGCAUCCAGUUUGUGGCAAUUAUAAAUAAUUUCUAUACUAAUUUGUAUAUAGGUCUUUGUGUGAAUGCGUGUUCAUUUUUUCUGGGAUAAAUGCCUCAGAACACAAUUAAUCAGAUCACAUGGUAAACAUAUGUUUAACUUUAUAAGGAAUUGCCAUACUAAAGAAAAAAAUGACUAUACCAUUUAGCACUCAUACUAACACAGUUUACAAGAGUUCCAAUUUUUCCACAACCUUUCAAGCACUGAGUAUUACUGUCAGUAUGUUUCAAUUUUAGCCAUUCUAAUAGAAGUGUAGUGCUUUCUCACCUUGGUUUUAUUUCACAGUUCCCAAAUGGCUAAUGACGGUGAAUAUCUUUUCAUGUGUUAGCUUUCCAUCUUUAUAUCUACUUUGGUCAAAUAUCUGUUAAAGCCUUUUGCCCAUUUUAAAGAUUAAGUUGUUUAUUUUCUUACUGUUGAACUUUGAAAAUUCUUCAUAAAUUCUGAAUGCAAGUCCUUUGUCAGAUAUGUGAUUUGCAAACAUUUUCUCACAGUUCAUAGCUUUUAUUUUCAUUCUCUUAAAAGAGUCUUUGCAAAGCAAAAACACUGAAUUUUGAUGAAGUGCAACUUACCAAUUGUGGUGUCACAUCUAAUAACUCUUUGUUUACUUCUAGGUUACAAAGAUUUUCCUUUUUUUUUUUCCUCAAAGUUUAUAGUUUAAUCCAUGAGUUUAGAUUUAUCAUUCAUUUAAAGUUAAUUUUUGUAUAGAGGGGAUGAGGUUUAAAUUUAGUUUCCUUUUUCUUCAUGUAUAUAUCUAAUUGUUUUAAUGCAUUGGUUGAAAAGACUAUCCUUUCUUCAUUGAAUUGUCUUUUCAUUUUUGUUUAAAAAAAAAUCAGUUGGCCAUGUGGAUUGAUUUCUGAAUUCUCUACUCAGUUAGUUCCACCUGUCUAUGUGUCUAUCCUUUCACUAAUACCACACUGUCUUAUUACCAUAGCUUUGUUAGUCUUAAAAUCCUCUAAUUUUUUUUUCACCUUUAUAAUUGUUUUGGCUAUUCUAAUUCCUUUGCCUAUUUACAUAACAUUUAGAAUCAGAUUGUUUAUAUAGUUAAGAUAUUCUGCUAGGAUUUUGACUGGAAUUACACUAUGUAUCAAUUUGGGGAUAAUUGGCAUCUUUACUAUAUUGUGUAUUCAUUAACAUAAUAUGUCACUCCAUUUAUUUUUGUCUUCUUUGAUUUCUUUCACCAAUUUUUUGUAUUUUGCAGCAUACAGAACAGGUAUGUGUUAUUUAGAAGAGUGUUUCUAGUUUCCAAGAGUUUGCAGAUUUUUCUGUUAUCUUUCUGGUAUUGAUUUCUAGUUUAAUUCUGUUUUGGUCAGAGAACAUACUUUGUAUUAUUUUAAUUCCUUUCAACUUGUUAAGGUUUGUUUUGACCAAGAAUAUGGUCUAUAUUGGUGAAUUUCCCAUGGGUACUUAAGAAAGAAUAUUUCAUAUGCAAUCACCGGGUAGGAAUAGCCUAUAUAUGUCGAUUAAAUGUAGUUGGAAGAUAACACUGUUUAGGUGUUUUAUGUCCUCGCUGAUUUUUUGUGUACUAUGUCUAUGGAUUACUGAGAGAGAAAUUCUGAAAUCUCAAAUAAGAAUUGUGGAUUUGUCUGCUUUUCCUUUAGUUAUAUCACUUUUUGUUUCAUGUGUUUUGGACCUUCUAAAUAAGUGCAUCAUCACAUUUAGAACCACUAUUUCCUCCUAGUAAAUUGUCCCUUUAAUCAUGCUGUCAUUACUCUUUACCCCUGGUAAUUUACUCUGCUCAAAGUNNNNNNNNNNNNNNNNNNNNNNNNNNNNNNNNNNNNNNNNNNNNNNNNNNNNNNNNNNNNNNNNNNNNNNNNNNNNNNNNNNNNNNNNNNNNNNNNNNNGCUCAAAGUUUUACACUGUCAGAUAUUGAAAUAGCCACCCCCAUUUUCUUUUCUUAGUAUUUAAAUGGUAUAUCAUUUCCCACUGUUUUAUUUUUAACCUCCCUAUAUAUUUUGUUUAAGUUUCAUAUAAACUGCAUGUAGUUUGUUCAUUAUUUUUAACCCAUCCACAAAAUCUGUGUCUUUUGGUUGGUAUAUUUAAAACUUUUGCAUUUAAUAUAAUCAUGGUGAAAUUAAGGAUACCAUUUUAUCAUUUGUUUUUUGUUCAUGUCCUCUAUUACUCAUUUCUUUUUUCCAUGUCCUGACUUCUUUUGAGUUAUUUAAACAUUUCUAGUAUUUAAUUCAUCUAAUGUGUUUCUAUUAUAUCUCAGUA
This 4613-nucleotide long non-coding RNA is filed under the name Capra hircus (goat). RNAcentral describes it as "lncRNA (ENSCHIG00010000353.1)". Lineage: Eukaryota; Metazoa; Chordata; Mammalia; Artiodactyla; Bovidae. The record is from RNAcentral.